Cavia porcellus (domestic guinea pig) is the source of this 275-nucleotide unclassified non-coding RNA. Its record names the gene 7SK. It matches the Rfam family "7SK RNA". Rfam says of the family: 7SK was discovered as an abundant small nuclear RNA in the mid-70s but a possible function has only recently been suggested. Two independent studies have found that 7SK RNA binds the CDK9/cyclin T complex (known as elongation factor P-TEFb). P-TEFb activates transcription by phosphorylating the C-terminal domain of RNA polymerase II. NCBI's taxonomy places the organism in Eukaryota, Metazoa, Chordata, Mammalia, Rodentia, Caviidae. The record is from Ensembl.
GGGAGGGUGGCUUAGCUGUGCUAGCUGCUGCUCCACUGACCACCACUGAUUCAACUGGUCUUACUGGUUAGGGUGCCGCAUUCCUCCCUCCCCAUGAGUUUGCUUCCCAAAGCUACACACUUGGAGGAAGAGAAAGACCUCCCCCAACAGAAGAGGACUUUCUUUGCUCAAGGAUCUCCAAGUAGCUGUGAUCCCCUGCUAGAACCUCUGAAGGGGAGUAAUAUGGCCAACAGUACCACGUGGAAGAAGAAUGAGGAACAUCUCUUCCUCUUCUU